UCUCCGUUGGUGAACCAGCGGAGGGAUCAUUACAGGACUCGCAAGACUCCUACAACCCUGUGAACUUAACUAUAAGCACGUUGCUUCGGCGGGUGUCUCGGAGGGGGUUCUCCCUCCCCGAGACGCUAAACCCGCCGGCAGCCUACUAUACUCUGUCUCUUUGCGUUGGCAUCUCGAGUACAAUCAAACAAGUUAAAACUUUCAACAACGGAUCUCUUGGUUCUGACAUCGAUGAAGAACGCAGC
RNAcentral lists this unclassified non-coding RNA (245 nucleotides) under plant metagenome. RNAcentral describes it as "partial contains small subunit ribosomal RNA, internal transcribed spacer 1, and 5.8S ribosomal RNA". The stretch from base 197 to 245 matches the Rfam family "5.8S ribosomal RNA", at positions 1 to 49 of the family's 154-position model. The record is from RNAcentral.